CUUUUUAUAGCGGAUGGGCUGCCAGAGCUGACAAACAAAGCUUAGGCAAAUGCUGGAUCUCACAACCUGUGUGGUCCAGCUGUGGGCUGAACAAAGAGUGGCAUAUGUGAUGGGAGAGCUUUGAAUAGAGCCCGAGAUUGCAUGUUUCUGUGUGCAGGAAAAUGGUUUACUCAGUGAAUACUCUUUCUUUUCCAGCAUCCUUUCCUACUUGGAGCUUAGGGCCGAAACCAUGAGGCGAUUUCUCUACUUUGCUGGCUGUGUUUCCUGAGCAAGUGACAAGAUGGAGCUGAUUAAAAGAAGACAAGGGAAGUCUCAGUGCCAGACCACUUCAGAAAUGAAGCAUUCCAGAAAGGCAUGUACGAACUCCUGUCAGGAACAGGAAUGAUUUCAUGGCCCCUUUUGCAUAUUAAUGAACUACAAGUAACCUCAGUUUAGCGGUGCAGAUGCAACAUUUCAGGAGCGGUGCCAGAAUUCAGCGAUAAAUGCCAGCUCCAGGGGAAAUACAUUUCAUGAUAGAAUUAGGAGAGCAGCCAUCUGAGACGUCCACAGAAAUCGCCACCCCCCUCGAAAUGGAAGGCGGUGUCUGGGGAGCAGGGCACUGGUGGCCGUGGAUGUGGGGUAUCGGGUCAUUUUUCUAAAACCGGUUCCCAGGCAUGCUCUCAAUCUUCUACUCUUCUGACACUGCAUAUUUCCUCAAGCAACAAAAUCAUUUGCCAAAAGGUCAAGCUUAGGUGAAUCGAUCAAUUUGGCUGCCUAUUUUUCUGGUGUAACUUAAAAAAAAUGUUUAAUCAUAUAGUCCUCCUUGUUUUAGAAGCAAAAUACCUCUUUUUGCUUCUUCCCCACCCUGCUCCCCCAACUGCCUGUCAGGCAUUUUGUUUCCCCCAACUUCUUGCAACCUGUGGUUGUAUUUUCUGGCAGAAGGCAAGCUCUCAGCAGUCCUCUUUUCUUCCAGUGCUCCUCCAGAAUUUGCUUGAUUCUCGCCCCCUUGCUCGCUCAUUCCCCUUUGCCCCAUACGCGUAGUGCAACCGUCACUGUCGUCUGUGCUCACCAUCUGUUUCUAAAAUUCCUAUGAUACAGAAAUCACAUGACAGUUUGAGGUGCAGCCAUUUCAAUGUUGCAAGCUUUCGCUUGGCAGGGUUUGGAAGCGAUGGCUGUGUGGUUUUGCUGCAUGGGGUGACCACCUCACGUGGUGUGACAGCAAGCCAUCUUGAAGGACCUUCGAAAGCUGCUGCCGACAGGAUCAGAUGUUUCUGUGAGACUGAGAAUGGAGAAUAAAGCCACAGGCUUUAUUUUCAGCUGAGACCCAGGCUAGAUUGCAGCCAAGGAGAAGAGAAAACACGUACAGAGCAAUGCUCUGCACUGCAUUGUAAAAAAA
This 1375-nucleotide long non-coding RNA is filed under the name Homo sapiens (human). RNAcentral describes it as "HSALNT0350869". Lineage: Eukaryota; Metazoa; Chordata; Mammalia; Primates; Hominidae. The record is from RNAcentral.